GUAGGUGGCAAGCGUUGUCCGGAAUUAUUGGGCGUAAAGCGCGCGCAGGUGGUUCUUUAAGUCUGAUGUGAAAGACCCCCGGGCUCAACCGGGGAGGGUCAUUGGAAACUGGGGAACUUGAGUGCAGGAGAGGAAAGUGGAACUCCACGUGUAGCGGUGAAAUGCGUAGAUAUGUGGAGGAACACCAGUGGCGAAGGCGACUUUCUGGCCUGUAACUGACACUGAGGCGCGAAAGCGUGGGGAGCAAACAGGAUUAGAUACCCUGGUAGUCCACGCCGUAAACGAUGAGUGCUAAGUGUUGGGGGGUUUCCGCCCCUCAGUGCUGCAGCUAACGCAUUAAGCACUCCGCCUGGGGAGUACGGUCGCAAAGACUG
RNAcentral lists this ribosomal RNA (374 nucleotides) under uncultured organism. Its description in RNAcentral is "partial 16S ribosomal RNA". It matches the Rfam family "Bacterial small subunit ribosomal RNA", at positions 527 to 896 of the family's 1533-position model. The record is from RNAcentral.